Molecule: ribosomal RNA, 403 nt
Filed under: uncultured bacterium
Lineage: Bacteria
Description: bacterial SSU rRNA
Rfam family: Bacterial small subunit ribosomal RNA
Source: RNAcentral
AUUGAACGCUGGCGGCGUGCUUAACACAUGCAAGUCGAUCGGUAACAGGUGUAGCAAUACAUGCUGACGAGAGGCGGACGGGUGAGUAAUGCUUGGGAAUCUGCCUAUUAGGUGGGGGACAACCCGGGGAAACUCGGGCUAAUACCGCAUACGCUCUACGGAGGAAAGCCGGGGACCGCAAGGCCUGGCGCUAAUAGAUGAGCCCAAGUCGGAUUAGCUAGUUGGUAGGGUAACGGCCUACCAAGGCGACAAUCCGUAGCUGGUCUGAGAGGACGACCAGCCACACCGGAACUGAGACACGGUCCGGACUCCUACGGGAGGCAGCAGUGGGGAAUAUUGGACAAUGGGGGCAACCCUGAUCCAGCGACGCCGCGUGGGUGAAGAAGGCCUGCGGGUUGUAAAG